RNAcentral lists this long non-coding RNA (4049 nucleotides) under Heterocephalus glaber (naked mole-rat). RNAcentral's name for it is "lncRNA (ENSHGLG00000045155.1)". The record is from RNAcentral. Lineage: Eukaryota; Metazoa; Chordata; Mammalia; Rodentia; Bathyergidae.
CAGGGAUCGAACUCUGGUCCUUCUGCUUGCAAGGCAGGUGGUGGAACCACUGAGUUAAAUCCCUGGCAAUAUUGUUUAUAUAUAAAAAAGUUUUUAAAAUAUUUUUUUUCUCAAAUAUUUAUCUAUGAAAUGAUAUGAUAUCUGGAAUUUUCCUGGGAAAAGGAAGGAUGUAUGGAUUUGGAUGGGUUGAUGUUGUAGCUGGGUGAUAGGUACAGGUAGAUUGAUAGUACUCUUUUGUGCAACAUUUCUGUAACAGAAGUAUUCUGUUGACCUUCAGAGACCUUCAGCACUUAUUUUUGGAGACACCACCCCAUGUCAUUCUAGCAAAUGAUAAUGUAUCCUUAAGAAUAAAUGUCCUUAAAAAUAAGAACCAAGAUGCAUUAUGUAAAGGUACAAUUCCCAAUGAGAAAUGUAAUUGUGUUGUAUACCUACAAUGUACCAAUAAAAGAAUUUAAUUUAAAAAAACCGAAUAAAUGUCCUUAAUAUGCAAAUAUUGACUUGAUAAAAGGUUACAUUUGGUAAACAUUUUUGUUAGGUCUCAACAUUUGCACAGGCCAUUGACUGAAUACCUGGAAAGACAUGGCAUUGUGCCUAGAGCACCUGGUGGAUGAAACACCCCUGGAGCAAGGGCUCCCAGCAGGUUUCCUGUGGGGGGGAAAGGGGGGACACCUACCCAGCUCAGACACAGCAAGGAGGGCUUCUGCUGCUGAUGCUGGCCCUUGUACCCACCCACAUCUGGCACUGUAGAUAUUCUUGGGCAUCCCAGAGAGAAGGGAAGGGAGGCUGCUGUGGGGGUGACCCGUCUCCCCUGUGUGCCCACUUCCACCUGCAGCUCCUUUCCACCACCUUCAUUGUGCUGGUAGUAGGAUGUGGGGCUUUGGGGAGUGGUUAGAUUUACAUGAAGUUUUGGGGUAGUGUCUCCCUAAAGGAGUCAUGCCCUCUAUAAGAAGACACUAGAGAACACUGCCUCCCCAUUCCUCUCCCUUUUUCUUUCUCCCUUUCUCCUUCAGCUAUAUAAUGGCACCACCAGAAAAUGGUUGCUAAAGCUUCUAAGAAAGGAAGGAGGUGGUUUCUGAAAUCCUGUGAAGAGUGUCGUGGCCUUCAGCAACUUGUGAUGGAAAAGAACAUUUGGAGUCUGAUAAAGCCAUACUUCUUUUUUUUUUUAUUGGUCUAUGCAACUUUAUUGAAGAAAAAUAAAUCAAUUACUAGUAGAGCUAUUAGUUGAUCACUCAUACCCUGACAACUUGUAUCAUUUACUCAGUGCUAUAUUAAACAAUGUAUUGGAAGAUAGAUUAAUUAAUAGCUCCAAGCCUCCUAACAAUUUAAAUGAAAAUUACAAAAUGUUUUGAGACCCUAUUUUGGAAUACAAAGGGUGUUUGAGUUCCAAUUUCCAUUCUAUGUAGAACAAGAACAGGUCAUUCCUUUAUUGACAUGCAUAAAAUAUAUUACAUUUUCUGUACUGCCAAUGCUAUAAAUUCAAUACCAAUUCUCCAGCCACAUCAGUUAUGAGGGUAAAGUAUAUCAUGUAAACGCAAAUCUCUAAUAGUAGAAGGCUUAACAAGGAUGGACGCUGCUAGAAUAAUGCUGCUUCCUUGCCAUGACAACCGAGCAUCCAUCUCCCACCUCAGCUGGCUUCUUCAGUAGUUAGAGCUGUGAGGAAUGGUUUAGUCUCAUAACGAAGUUAGAGUGAAGACACAGGCCACAUAACACACAUGUUCCAUUUUUUAAAAAAAUUCUGAAUCUUGGGCAACUGUUCUCUUGUAACUACUUUACAGUUUCUAAAAGCAGUUAUUGUGCCCCAGAGCACUGAGGAGGUGAGACUCUUAGGCCACUGUAUCACUGUCCCAGAGUGCCGAGGAGGUAAGCCUCUUGAGCCACCAUACUACUGCCCCAGAGUGCCCAGGAGUUGAGCUGCAUGGGUGCCAGCGUGCGCGCACACACACACACACACACACACACACACACACACACACAGAGCUGUGCUGAGUCAUUACCUGGAACCACACCACAGAGUUGCAGGGGUCAUAAAGGACAUUGUUCUGAGCUUGAGAAGAUACAGUAGAGGUGAACAACAGAAAGAGGACCUCUCUGAGGCCUGUUGAUGAAAAUUAAAGCCCACUGGAAAAAUGAAGAAAAUCUCUGCAAUAAAGGCACACCAGACCACCUUAGUUGGGGGAGCAGCGGUGUGGACCAGAGCAGUGCGGGUGCAAGCAGAUCCCAGCCAGGGAUCCACCCUGACCCCAGAAGGUGGGGCACACCUGCCCAAGCCAAGGGCCUGCCUGGAAAAGAGCUAUACAGGCACACAAGCAACAGCCAGAGGUUCACCCCAAUACCAUCAGUAAGUGCGCGAGACCCUAGCCAGAAGCUUGCUCACACAACAGGAACUGGGGUGCAUAGCCCCCAGCCAAAGGCUCUCCCAGACAACAGGGGCCCUAGCCAGUGACACACAUAGAUACCAUCCCAAGUGUGCACAGGCCCCAGCCAGAAGCCCACCCAGAUAACAGAUCAGCUCAGAGAUCCAGAAGGCCACCUUUCUGUACCCGGGAAUUAGUGGACUGGUCAAGCAACAGAGAAAAGGCAGCUCUGUGUCUUGCUGAGAAUUAAAGACCACUGGGUGAGCAAAAAGUUGCCUCAACAAAGGCAUAGCAGGCUGCAUCUGUUGAAAUGAGAAGACAAGUAAACAAGUCUCAGAACCAGACUUCCAGAUCACCUGAGGCAACCCCAAAGGGAAACAAGAUGUAACAAUCUGAUACUCAACCACCUGGAAUCCCUGAACUGGGAACUAAAGAGGAUCUGGAAAAAAUGAAAUCAGAAAUAAUUUCUCAGAUAACAGAAGAGAUUGUGCCCAUAGUGCAAGACAUGAUUAAUAAAUCUCGAGAGGAAACAGAUAAAAAAAUAGAGGAGCUGAGGAACAUGAUGGAAUCCCAACAUAGGAAACAAAUGGAAUCCAUAAAACAGAUGCAAACAGAUUUCUAGGAGAUUAAAAACUCCAUUGAAAGUUUACACAGCAGAAUGAGCCAAUGUGAGGACAGAAUUUCGGAUAUAGAAUAUAAGACUGCAAUUAGUGACCAGGAAAAGAAAAAUUUCUUUAAAAUUGUAAGGGACCACGAGAAAUCAAUCCAGAAGCUGCUGGACGAUGCAAAGAAGAAUAACAUAAGACUGACUGGAGUCAAUGAAGAAACAGGAGAGAGUGUAGACGACAUAAAAAAACUGUUCACAGAAGUGAUGGCAGAAAACUUCCCAAACAGGGGAAAAGAACUUCACAUACAGAUAAGGGAGGUAUAUAGGACUCCAACUAGCCUUGAUCAAAAAAAAAUCUACACAUAGACAUAUAAUUGUUAAGAUUCCAGAAACCCAACAGAAGAACAAAAUUCUACAAGCAGAGAAAAGAAACAAAUCACAUACAAAUGAAAGCCCAUUAGAAUCACAGCAGACUUCUCAGUAGAAACUCUCAAGGCAAGAAGAGCUUGGAGUGACGUAUUUCAAGUCCUAAAGGAAAACAGCUUCCAACCCAGAUUGAUGUACCCUGCAAAACUCUCUUUCAAAAUGGAUGGAGAAAUAAGAUACUUUUAUGACAAAGAGCACCUUAGGAACUAGCACUCCAAAAAAUUUUAGACAAUAUCCUAGGAAAAGACAAUGAGGAUCACAACCCCAGGAAGCCCAGCAGAAUGAAUCCAUUGGGCACAACAAGAAAUUAAACACAAAGAGGAAGAAUCCAACAAAAAGAAAAAGUCAUGACAAUAAGUCAAUAUAUAUCAGUUAUAACCAUCAAUGUUAAUGGUCUCAAUUCACCAAUCAAAAGAAAUAGACUGGCACAAUGGGUCAACAAGCAAGAUCCAACAAUAUGCUGCAUACAAGAAUCACACUUAAUUUAAAAAGAAACUCAUAGACUGAAAGUUAAAGGGUGGAAAACAACACUCCAUGCGUCAGGAACCUGAAAAAAAGCAGGAGUAGCUAACCUCUUUGCAGAUCAAGUGGAUUCCAAACCAAAACCUGAAACACUUCUUGUCCCAAGAAUUUCAGAUAAGGGACAGUCAACCUGUAUGUGC